UUAAGCGACUAAGCGUACACGGUGGAUGCCCUGGCAGUCAGAGGCGAUGAAGGACGUGCUAAUCUGCGAUAAGCGUCGGUGAGGUGAUAUGAACCGUUAUAACCGGCGAUUUCCGAAUGGGGAAACCCAGUGUGUUUCGACACACUAUCAUUAACUGAAUCCAUAGGUUAAUGAGGCGAACCGGGGGAACUGAAACAUCUAAGUACCCCGAGGAAAAGAAAUCAACCGAGAUUCCCCCAGUAGCGGCGAGCGAACGGGGAGGAGCCCAGAGCCUGAAUCAGUGUGUGUGUUAGUGGAAGCGUCUGGAAAGGCGCGCGAUACAGGGUGACAGCCCCGUACACAAAAAUGCACAUAUUGUGAGCUCGAUGAGUAGGGCGGGACACGUGGUAUCCUGUCUGAAUAUGGGGGGACCAUCCUCCAAGGCUAAAUACUCCUGACUGACCGAUAGUGAACCAGUACCGUGAGGGAAAGGCGAAAAGAACCCCGGCGAGGGGAGUGAAAAAGAACCUGAAACCGUGUACGUACAAGCAGUGGGAGCCUCUUAAUGGGGUGACUGCGUACCUUUUGUAUAAUGGGUCAGCGACUUAUAUUCUGUAGCAAGGUUAACCGAAUAGGGGAGCCGAAGGGAAACCGAGUCUUAACUGGGCGUUAAGUUGCAGGGUAUAGACCCGAAACCCGGUGAUCUAGCCAUGGGCAGGUUGAAGGUUGGGUAACACUAACUGGAGGACCGAACCGACUAAUGUUGAAAAAUUAGCGGAUGACUUGUGGCUGGGGGUGAAAGGCCAAUCAAACCGGGAGAUAGCUGGUUCUCCCCGAAAGCUAUUUAGGUAGCGCCUCGUGAAUUCAUCUCCGGGGGUAGAGCACUGUUUCGGCAAGGGGGUCAUCCCGACUUACCAACCCGAUGCAAACUGCGAAUACCGGAGAAUGUUAUCACGGGAGACACACGGCGGGUGCUAACGUCCGUCGUGAAGAGGGAAACAACCCAGACCGCCAGCUAAGGUCCCAAAGUCAUGGUUAAGUGGGAAACGAUGUGGGAAGGCCCAGACAGCCAGGAUGUUGGCUUAGAAGCAGCCAUCAUUUAAAGAAAGCGUAAUAGCUCACUGGUCGAGUCGGCCUGCGCGGAAGAUGUAACGGGGCUAAACCAUGCACCGAAGCUGCGGCAGCGACACUAUGUGUUGUUGGGUAGGGGAGCGUUCUGUAAGCCUGUGAAGGUGUGCUGUGAGGCAUGCUGGAGGUAUCAGAAGUGCGAAUGCUGACAUAAGUAACGAUAAAGCGGGUGAAAAGCCCGCUCGCCGGAAGACCAAGGGUUCCUGUCCAACGUUAAUCGGGGCAGGGUGAGUCGACCCCUAAGGCGAGGCCGAAAGGCGUAGUCGAUGGGAAACAGGUUAAUAUUCCUGUACUUGGUGUUACUGCGAAGGGGGGACGGAGAAGGCUAUGUUGGCCGGGCGACGGUUGUCCCGGUUUAAGCGUGUAGGCUGGUUUUCCAGGCAAAUCCGGAAAACCAAGGCUGAGGCGUGAUGACGAGGCACUACGGUGCUGAAGCGACAAAUGCCCUGCUUCCAGGAAAAGCCUCUAAGCAUCAGGUAACAUCAAAUCGUACCCCAAACCGACACAGGUGGUCAGGUAGAGAAUACCAAGGCGCUUGAGAGAACUCGGGUGAAGGAACUAGGCAAAAUGGUGCCGUAACUUCGGGAGAAGGCACGCUGAUAUGUAGGUGAAGCGACUUGCUCGUGGAGCUGAAAUCAGUCGAAGAUACCAGCUGGCUGCAACUGUUUAUUAAAAACACAGCACUGUGCAAACACGAAAGUGGACGUAUACGGUGUGACGCCUGCCCGGUGCCGGAAGGUUAAUUGAUGGGGUUAGCGGUAACGCGAAGCUCUUGAUCGAAGCCCCGGUAAACGGCGGCCGUAACUAUAACGGUCCUAAGGUAGCGAAAUUCCUUGUCGGGUAAGUUCCGACCUGCACGAAUGGCGUAAUGAUGGCCAGGCUGUCUCCACCCGAGACUCAGUGAAAUUGAACUCGCUGUGAAGAUGCAGUGUACCCGCGGCAAGACGGAAAGACCCCGUGAACCUUUACUAUAGCUUGACACUGAACAUUGAGCCUUGAUGUGUAGGAUAGGUGGGAGGCUUUGAAGUGUGGACGCCAGUCUGCAUGGAGCCGACCUUGAAAUACCACCCUUUAAUGUUUGAUGUUCUAACGUGGGCCCCUAAUCGGGGUUGCGGACAGUGUCUGGUGGGUAGUUUGACUGGGGCGGUCUCCUCCUAAAGAGUAACGGAGGAGCACGAAGGUUGGCUAAUCCUGGUCGGACAUCAGGAGGUUAGUGCAAUGGCAUAAGCCAGCUUGACUGCGAGCGUGACGGCGCGAGCAGGUGCGAAAGCAGGUCAUAGUGAUCCGGUGGUUCUGAAUGGAAGGGCCAUCGCUCAACGGAUAAAAGGUACUCCGGGGAUAACAGGCUGAUACCGCCCAAGAGUUCAUAUCGACGGCGGUGUUUGGCACCUCGAUGUCGGCUCAUCACAUCCUGGGGCUGAAGUAGGUCCCAAGGGUAUGGCUGUUCGCCAUUUAAAGUGGUACGCGAGCUGGGUUUAGAACGUCGUGAGACAGUUCGGUCCCUAUCUGCCGUGGGCGCUGGAGAACUGAGGGGGGCUGCUCCUAGUACGAGAGGACCGGAGUGGACGCAUCACUGGUGUUCGGGUUGUCAUGCCAAUGGCACUGCCCGGUAGCUAAAUGCGGAAGAGAUAAGUGCUGAAAGCAUCUAAGCACGAAACUUGCCCCGAGAUGAGUUCUCCCUGAGACUUAGAGUCUCCUGAAGGAACGUUGAAGACGACGACGUUGAUAGGCCGGGUGUGUAAGCGCAGCGAUGCGUUGAGCUAACCGGUACUAAUGAACCGUGAGGCUUAACCUU
RNAcentral lists this ribosomal RNA (2902 nucleotides) under Escherichia coli. RNAcentral's name for it is "bacterial LSU rRNA". It matches the Rfam family "Bacterial large subunit ribosomal RNA". RNAcentral also lists the same sequence under 2 other names. The record is from RNAcentral. Lineage: Bacteria; Pseudomonadati; Pseudomonadota; Gammaproteobacteria; Enterobacterales; Enterobacteriaceae.